This 231-nucleotide ribosomal RNA is filed under the name uncultured bacterium. RNAcentral's name for it is "partial 16S ribosomal RNA". It matches the Rfam family "Bacterial small subunit ribosomal RNA", at positions 85 to 334 of the family's 1533-position model. The record is from RNAcentral.
CAAUACAUCACCGGCGGACGGGUGCGUAACACGUGGGAAUAUACCUUUUGGUUCGGAACAAGCAGGGAAACUUGCGCUAAUGCCGAAUGUGCCCUUACGGGGAAAGAUUUAUCGCCAAAGGAUUAGCCCGCGUAGGAUUAGCUAGUUGGUGAGGUAAUGGCUCACCAAGGCUCCGAUCCUUAGCUGUUCUGAGAGGAAGAUCAGCCACACUGGGACUGAGACACGGCCCAG